RNAcentral lists this transfer RNA (71 nucleotides) under Candidatus Pacearchaeota archaeon CG_4_9_14_3_um_filter_30_11. Its description in RNAcentral is "tRNA-Ala". It matches the Rfam family "tRNA". Rfam says of the family: Transfer RNA (tRNA) molecules are approximately 80 nucleotides in length. The record is from RNAcentral. Lineage: Archaea; Nanobdellati.
GGGCCUGUAGUUUAAUGGUAUGACACUUGCCUUGCACGCAUGAGAUCCGUGUUCGAUUCACGGCAGGUCCA